This is a non-coding RNA of Cinara cedri, 270 nucleotides long. The record is from the annotation of a GenBank genome assembly. NCBI's taxonomy places the organism in Eukaryota, Metazoa, Arthropoda, Insecta, Hemiptera, Aphididae.
AGUCAGUAUUGAAAGUAAGUAAAGAUAAUUACUUUAAUUUAACUUUAUCAAAAAUAUUGUAUACAAUUAACUCUUUAGAAUCAUUAAGACCUUAAUUACACAGUAAAUUAUCUUUACUAAAAUAUUCUGUAUGAUCACUUUGAACUAUGUGUAUUCAACAAAAAAUUAUUGCUUACAAUAUCAUUUGAGCAGUUAAGACAAAUUAACAAUAGAUGACUGGGGACAUAUCGGCCAAAGAAGAUUUGAUAAUCUAAUGGCCAAAGUCGUAUA